GAUGAACGCUGGCGGCGUGCCUAAUACAUGCAAGUCGAGCGAACAGACGAGGAGCUUGCUCCUCUGAUGUUAGCGGCGGACGGGUGAGUAACACGUGGAUAACCUACCUAUAAGACUGGGAUAACUUCGGGAAACCGGAGCUAAUACCGGAUAAUAUAUUGAACCGCAUGGUUCAAUAGUGAAAGACGGUUUUGCUGUUACUUAUAGAUGGAUCCGCGUUGCAUUAGCUAGUUGGUAAGGUAACGGCUUACCAAGGCAACGAUGCGUAGCCGACCUGAGAGGGUGAUCGGCCACACUUGAACUGAGACACGGUCCAGACUCCUACGGGAGGCAGCAGUAGGGAAUCUUCCGCAAUGGGCGAAAGCCUGACGGAGCAACGCCGCGUGAGUGAUGAAGGUCUUCGGAUCGUAAAACUCUUUUAUUAGGGAAGAACAAAUGUGUAAGUAACUAUGCACGUCUUGACGGUACCUAAUCAGAAAGCCACGGCUAACUACGUG
Molecule: ribosomal RNA, 497 nt
Filed under: uncultured bacterium
Lineage: Bacteria
Description: partial 16S ribosomal RNA
Rfam family: Bacterial small subunit ribosomal RNA
Source: RNAcentral